This is a non-coding RNA of Monodelphis domestica (gray short-tailed opossum), 851 nucleotides long. The record is from RefSeq and is a predicted model, not a curated record. Lineage: Eukaryota; Metazoa; Chordata; Mammalia; Didelphimorphia; Didelphidae.
GCCCCCGCCCCCUGCACUCCAUCGCCUCCCCUCCCAUCCUGGACCCGGGGGAGCCUCGCGCGCCGGGGCCCUGAGUUACCCUGGCAACCAGCAGGUUGCCUCGCGCCCCCACCCCUUCUCACCCAGCGACCCCCAAGGCCCUCGCGCCCCACUCCGGGCCAACGGUCAUCGAACUUCCCCUCCCCCUCCCUAAGCUUGAAGGGCUGCGGUGCGGGGUGUGAGACCAGACGGGAGAGGCUGGCAUGGGGGGAAGGGGAGAGGAGCCAGGGCUGUGUCCGGAGAGGGGGGCCCGGAUAGGCUGCGGGAUUAGGGUAUGGGCAGUGGGAGAGGGAAGAGAUCCACUGAGGAGCUCGAGAGGGGUCCCUUCCCCCCCCCUCCCCAAAGGUGGACCAGGGGCAGCCCGAAAGGGCCGGAAGAGAGAAGGGUCCGAGAAGUUUUAAGGAGGGGGAGGUGGGGCGCAGGUAAAGAGGCUGCGAAGGAGCACCUCAGGGAAGGCUGGUAAGCGUCCGGGUAGGUAAAGGCAGGAAUAGGUGUCGAUAGGGGCCAACUGCAACUUCCCUUCUUCAUUGGCCCCACCCACCUACGGUCCUGGGGCUCAGACUUUCCCCAGCCUUGCCACUGUUCCAGCUUGCAUCGAUGACAUGACUUUGCAGAAGCAGUUGCAUCUUCUGUUCCUCAACACUGAGGGAAACCAGUUCCCCAUCUCCCAUGAAGUUUGUUCUACUUGGCUACUUUCCCCCCAGAGAUUACUGUGCCCACCCAGCUUUUCCUCUCAGACGAAGAAGAUGGAGCAUCACUUCUCAGCAAUAAGUUGUGUUUUCUCCCCUAUAACAUAAAAGUGAUUCUGCUAA